Long non-coding RNA from Paramormyrops kingsleyae, 451 nucleotides. RefSeq lists it as uncharacterized. The record is from RefSeq and is a predicted model, not a curated record. NCBI's taxonomy places the organism in Eukaryota, Metazoa, Chordata, Actinopteri, Osteoglossiformes, Mormyridae.
CUCCUUUUUAGAUUCCAGCACGUCGAAGACGGCCGCUCCAACCAGCAGAGAGCACGUCUCUAAUCAUGUGGGAUGGGAGCUUCACCCAUGGUCUUCCACCAGGCGAUGCCUGUGUCAGGUUCCUGUCAGAUGCAUUCUACGUGGACACAAGUGAUCCCAUGCCCUGAAGGUCUUUCUAAUGACUUAUGAGGACAUGUGACCUGCUGGACAUGUGACAGAGGCGUGUGACACUGAAAAUAUAAAAACAACAAACAAGCAAACAAACACGCUGUGCCAAAUGGUCAGGGAAAGGAGGUCUGCAUUUUCACAGCAUUGGCAAGAUAAUAAAAACUUUGAAGGUCACAAUUGAGAUUUGUGUCCAUUAUUAUUUCAUUCUACCAUAUGAUAUAUUUACUAAUUUAGAUUUUUCUCUUCUAGGCACAAUAAACCGUAAUUAGCAGAGUUUUAAUAG